Molecule: long non-coding RNA, 355 nt
Filed under: Salmo salar (Atlantic salmon)
Lineage: Eukaryota; Metazoa; Chordata; Actinopteri; Salmoniformes; Salmonidae
Description: lncRNA (ENSSSAG00000085077.1)
Source: RNAcentral
CUGAGUAUUCAGACUGGCUGUGUAUGCUGAGUAUUCAGACUGGCUGUGUAUGCUGAGUAUUCAGACUGGCUGUGUAUUCUGAGUAUUCAGACUGGCUGUGUAAUUCUGAGUAUUCAGACUGGCUGUGUAAUUCUGACUAUUCAGACUGACUGUGUAAUUCUGAGUAUUCAGACUGGCUGUGUAUUCUGAGUAUUCAGACUGGCUGUGUAUUCAGACUGGCUGUGUAAUUCUGAGUGUGUAUUCUGAGUAUUCAGACUGGCUGUGUAUUCUGAGUAGGUAUUCUGAGUAUUCAGACUGGCUGUGUAUUCUGAGUAUUCAGACUGGCUGUGUAUUCUGAGUAUUCAGACUGGCUGUG